This is an RNA transcript of Amphiprion ocellaris (clown anemonefish), 1665 nucleotides long. It is a transcript of the gene named keratin, type I cytoskeletal 18-like, with no coding region annotated. The transcript has 7 exons. The record is from RefSeq and is a predicted model, not a curated record. Lineage: Eukaryota; Metazoa; Chordata; Actinopteri; Pomacentridae.
CCUGCUUCCAGCGUCACUUUCUAACCCAGCCAGCAGCGAGUCUCCACAUCUCAUUUUUGACUUCAUACUCUGCCGUGCCAAAACUUCUCCAAAAUGAGCUCCAGGUACAGCAGCAUCCAGUCCUCCAAGAUGUCCAUAGCCCGCUCUACACCUCCAUACCGUGCUAUGAGCGUUCAUGGUGGUGCUAUUCCAUCCAGCAGCCGCAUCUCCUCUGUCUCCACGUCCUUCCUGCGUUCUGGUGCUCCAAUGGCAUCAUCUUCAUCUGGGUUCAAGCUCAGCAGUGCACUGGAUGGCAGCAUGGGCGCUGGUUUUGGUGGUGCUCGUGCAUCUGUGGCAGCUGGUGGUGGUUCUGGUGCUGGGAUCCUGGGCAAUGAGAAGGGAGCCAUGCAGAACCUGAAUGACCGUCUGGCCAAUUACCUGGAGACAGUGAGGAACCUGGAAAAGGCCAACGGGGAGCUGGAGAGGAAAAUCAGGGAGGCUCUGGAGAAGGGGGGGCCCGACAUGAGAGACUACAGCAAGUAUGAGCCCAUCAUUGAAGACCUACGCAAACAGAUCUUUGAUAAGAUAGUGGAGAACGCUAGUUUUGUGCUCCAGAUUGACAAUGCCCGUCUGGCCGCUGACGACUUCAAAGUCAAGUAUGACAAUGAGAUGGCCAUUCGCCAGUCUGUGGAGGCCGACAUUGCUGGUCUGAAGAAAGUCAUCGAUGACACCAACAUGACCAGGAUGAACAUCGAGAGUGAGAUUGAAGCUGUGAAGGAGGAGCUCCUCUUCCUGAAGAAAAAUCAUGAAAAUGAGGUGAUGGAACUGAGGAAUCAGAUCUCCCAAUCAGGCGUCCAAGUGGACGUAGACGCUCCCAAAGGUCAGGACCUGUCCCAGAUCAUGGAGGACAUGAGAGCCAACUAUGAGAAGAUGGCUGUGAAGAACGCAGAAGACCUCAAACGGUGGCAUGAAAAUCAGAUUGCAGAUGUGCAGGUUCAGGUAUCACAGAACACAGAAGCUCUCCAGGGAGCUCAGAUGGAGAUGAGUGACCUAUCGAGACAGAUACAGACCCUGGAAAUCGAACUCGCAUCUCAACAGAGUUUGAAAGCGUCUUUAGAGGACACACUACGCAACACAGAGCUACGCAACAACAUGGAAAUGGAGAAGUACAACAACAUCAUUGUCCGUCUGGAGGAGGAGCUGACCAACCUGCGUGCAAACAUACAGCAACAGACCCAAGAUUACGAAGCGCUGCUCAACAUGAAGAUGAAACUCGAGGCCGAGAUCAGCACUUACAAGACUCUGCUGGAUGGUGGAGACUUCAAGUAAGAGUUAAAAAGAUGUGGAGAAGAAAAAAACAAGUCAAGGCGAGAUGAUGGUGGUGGUGGAGGCUCCAGGAUGCUGUGGAUGAGCUGGCGGCCACAAUCUAAUUUGGAAACAAGAAUCCUCACAACAAUGAAAGUAAAGCUGCCCGUGACUAUCAGUUAUGAAAGAAGAAAAAAAAAAGUUCCGCUGGUCCAAUCAGCAAACACUAUUUUUGCACCACUUGCUAUGUAAACCAGAAGUGAUUGAAGCUAUUCUGAAUAAAGGCAUUCCUCCACACCGCAAUGGAACACAGGGCAGUUUCAAAAGCAACCAUCGCCUGGCACCAAAACAGAAAUGAAUAAAACCACUUGUUUUUCCACA